CUUCAUUCAUGUCGACCCAGGAGUAGGUCUUUGGCCCCCCAAAAAACAGAGUACGAAGAAACAGGCGUAGGCAACGGCAAGGGGCAUUUGAAUCGACUGAAUCAAGACGCAAGAAUUUGACCACUGCUACAGUAGAAGGGAAUCGAAGUGGAAACGAGAAGACAGAAAAACGAGAGAUGCAGAAUGCCUUCCAUGGCAAAAGUAGAUAGACAAGACACGCCCAAGCAUGGCGACGAAGACGACCUACAUUCCGUCUCUGUUCCCUGUCUCUGUGUUUUGCAUUUCACUUACAUAAGGUAACUAAAAAUUCUUCUCUGAACCCACGAAGCAUCACAACAGAAGAAGCAAGAACACACCCUUGAGAAAGGAAAACGGUCAACAAUAGUAGAGUUGCAGAGUCGAAGCGUACAUUUACAGAGACAGACGAGGGCUACUCUUGCUUGGCCCGCGAGUACGUGCUGAGCUCGGGCGGCGACCCCGAGGCUGGCUCGUCCGCGACCCUUCCAAGCCCCGCCGUCGAUGCUGUACCGGCCACCUUCUUCACAACCAUCCUGAAGAUCCCGACUUUGACCUGUCCUCUCUUGGGAGGCAGCCUCGCCUUCGAACCCUUCCCGAGCUCUUCUUCGUUGAGCAUGGAUUCGACGUUUUAUCCGCAAUCCUCUCUCUGCAGUAGAGAAAUCUCAAGUGGGUUAUCAGAGAUGAGCUAGCAG
Molecule: long non-coding RNA, 710 nt
Filed under: Eucalyptus grandis
Lineage: Eukaryota; Viridiplantae; Streptophyta; Magnoliopsida; Myrtales; Myrtaceae
Description: long non-coding RNA (EGRA_LNC004434)
Source: RNAcentral